Molecule: long non-coding RNA, 1035 nt
Filed under: Camelus dromedarius (Arabian camel)
Lineage: Eukaryota; Metazoa; Chordata; Mammalia; Artiodactyla; Camelidae
Description: lncRNA (ENSCDRG00005007196.1)
Source: RNAcentral
AUUUAAUGAGGGUUUUUUUGUUUGUUUGUUUGUUUUGUUUUUUGUUUUGGUAUCUUCCAGAAGGCAGAAAUGUGAAAGACGUGGCCACAUCUCUCUCAUCAGGCCAUGGAAAAUUAGUCUUCUCUUAUUAAACAGGAAAGUUUAGCAUUUAAUAGUUAAUGAAGGCAAGGGAAUCUCAACAGAUAAGAGCCGAGUCUGCACAGGCUGCGUUUGGACAAUUCCAAAUCCUCUUAUCUCUUCUCAGAAAGGCUGCUGUUUGCAAGAUAUUGUUUUAAGCAGAGGGAAGACAGGCGCAGACGCAUACAAAGGGAGAGCCACUAUCUUUUCAAAUGGAUGCAGAAUACAUGAAGAGGUGCUGCCUGGCAGUUUUAUGGCAUGCUGCAACAACAUAUUGUAUUUUCCCCUCUGGAUUCAAUACACUGAUCCUCUGGUAUUUAAACUUUAAAAUAUGUACAGCAUUGUGGACAUAUGGAAGAAGACAGAAGCUGGGGUGGAUGACGCUGCGGACCUGGAGGCGAGACAAUGAUGUGUAGGAUAGAAAUGUCUAAUCUUCAAUUCUAGGUUUUUGGUGAAGAGACAAAGAAAAUCUUUUCCUUACCUUUAACAUCUCUUCAAUCCUACCGUAAAGUCUGCUACCCACUCAGACUUUUACAUAGAGAAAUCAAGAAAGAAGCUGAAAGUAGGCCCAGCAUUUGGGUUUAUGUGGAACAGGAGACACUGAUUCAUCAGGGCCAGGAAGCUGGACCCAGGAGUAUCCCUGAGACUAUAAAUCCCAGAAGAAGUUACAGGAAUCUUAAAAAAAAGCAAUAGAUUUCCUCUGGGUGGUGGUAUAGGAAUUAGGGCCGAUUUUAUCAAGAUCUUGAUGGCAGCAUGACCCCAGUGGCAGUUGGUUAUGAGUCUAUGGCCCUGAUGAGGUUUGAAGCCUGGCUCAUCUACAUGCCAGCUAGUUAUUCUAGACUGCAAAACUUGGUGUCUUCUUUGGUAAAAUUGGAGUAGUAUCUUUAUAAUUCGGGAUCACCAGUUGAUACUUAAAAU